CGUCAGGCAGGAGGCGCUCUCGUGAUGUGUACAGUGUAAUGAUAGUAGUAAGCUGUAACCUUUCACGCGCGCGAGCGUGUGUGUGGAAUUAAAAGUUACCUGGAUAAAUGCUCACAGCUCCAGUUCACCUACUGUGCUCGUGACAGAAACUCCACCAUGAGGCGGAAUAAAGACUCCAACUGUGUGGAAGCAGAGAGAGAGAGAAUGAUGGCAGGAGGGAAUAUUCGCCGCAUCGGGACUCGUUUAUCUUUCAGUAAAAGUUGUGUGUAAGUGUGUGCGUGAACCGAAACCCAGAAAUGCAGAUUUUCUUCGUACGCGUGCAUAUUCUGAUCACCGUAAAGUACAAAACGUGUUCCUGACUCAGCUCAUUUACAUGUAGCGACACCCACAAAACUCCAUAAAAGGUAAAGUGCACAGACAGCUGGGAGCAUGAAAUGAGCCAUCAGGAUAAAGACUGAAAGACUGAAGUGGAGGUUAUUUUGACUCACU
Molecule: long non-coding RNA, 489 nt
Organism: Ictalurus punctatus (channel catfish)
Lineage: Eukaryota; Metazoa; Chordata; Actinopteri; Siluriformes; Ictaluridae
Source: Ensembl